CCUACGGUGGGCAGCAGUGGGGAAUAUUGCACAAUGGGGGAAACCCUGAUGCAGCGACGCCGCGUUAGUGAAGAAGUAUUUCGGUAUGUAAAGCUCUGUCAGCAGGGAAGAAAAUGACGGAACCUGACCAAGAAGCCCCGGCUAACUACGUGCCAGCAGCCUCGGUAAUAAGUAGGGGGCAAGCGUUAUCCGGAUUUACUGGGUGUAAAGGGAGCGUAGACGGCAGGGCAAGUCUGGAGGGAAAGGCGGGGGCACAACCCCCGGACUGCUCUGGAAACUGCCAGGCUGGAGUGCAGGAGAGGUAAGUGGAAUUCCUAGUGUAGCGGUGAAAUGCGUAGAUAUUAGGAGGAACACCAGUGGCGAAGGCGGCUUACUGGACUGUAACUGACGUUGAGGCUCGAAAGCGUGGGGAGCAAACAGGAUUAGAUACCCCUGUAGUC
This 440-nucleotide ribosomal RNA is filed under the name uncultured bacterium. RNAcentral's name for it is "partial 16S ribosomal RNA". It matches the Rfam family "Bacterial small subunit ribosomal RNA", at positions 338 to 795 of the family's 1533-position model. The record is from RNAcentral.